GGAGGCCCUUAAACAGUUCAAAGUUCAAUUACCGUUUCUUGUCUCAUCUCACACGAAGCAACGAAAUUUAACUAACAAGAUAAUUUCCACUGCAAGUUUAAAAACAACACAUGAUAGCCGUCCUCAGGCAGAGUUCUUUUCUUUAGUUCUUGUUCCUUGAAACUAUGCACCAUCUGCAAGUGUCCUCUUUGAUGUACUGAUGUAGAGAACAUUAUUUCCUCGUAUGAAAGCAUCACCGUACUUGUUUUUUAACUGUCCAUUUACGUAUUCUUCUGUUUGCUCCAUGGCUAUAUUCAUAUAUCCAUCCAGGCAGGCUAGAAUACCUCUAUAAUCAACUCCAGAAUUGAGCUUAACUACAACAGGUCGCCCGCGAAUUGAUUUAAGGAAAUCAGCUGGUGUUUUUGUAGUUGUUGAUCCCUUUUCUCCACCUGUACUCAUUCUUUUUUUUUCCUCUGUAACUUGCGGAUUUCAGAAACCGAGAAGGAAGCUCCGCCUAGGUCUUUUUUCCUUGCCAGAGACUCAGCUGUUUAGGGCAUUUUUACUCGUACAAAACAGUGUUUU
Molecule: unclassified non-coding RNA, 561 nt
Filed under: Hevea brasiliensis (rubber tree)
Lineage: Eukaryota; Viridiplantae; Streptophyta; Magnoliopsida; Malpighiales; Euphorbiaceae
Source: RNAcentral